AGCCUCUGGGUCACCGCAUGAUCUGAGCCCUUUAUAGACGGUGACAAAGAGCUGAAUGAGUUGAUCUAUGGGAACACUGACAGGCUAUAGUCCUCAGACGCUGUACGCUGUGUUAUAAAUCAAAAGAAUAAUGAUAACAGUGUCAUCCUAAACAAAUAAUAUUCAUCUUCAAUAUCAUUCGAAUAUAGUGGUCUGGUAAAAGAAACUCUAAAGAUUAAUCAAUUUGAAAAAUCACUAAUGAGCAGUCAUUAGUUGAUCAUUUGGAAACUUUAAGAGAAGAAAUGACUAACAACAACAUAUGAAAAGAGAUUUGAGAAUGUGGACUUCUCGAAUGGAACCAAGAACGUCAAACCGGAACGUCCCAAAAAUAAGAAAGUCAUGCAGGUUUCGAAAGACUUGAGUGGACAUUUGCGUCAUGUCACCCUGUGGAAGCGCGGACCAGCCCCCUUCAGAGUCAGAACACUAUGCCUGUCACAGGCGGUCACUGCAGGAUCUUUUGUUGAUCAUGUUGAUGUUGCAGUUUCAGCUG
Molecule: long non-coding RNA, 529 nt
Organism: Onychostoma macrolepis
Lineage: Eukaryota; Metazoa; Chordata; Actinopteri; Cypriniformes; Cyprinidae
Exons: 3
Source: RefSeq, a predicted model, not a curated record